This 2180-nucleotide unclassified non-coding RNA is filed under the name Leishmania donovani. Its description in RNAcentral is "gene:LdHU3.20.0860(CDS-product:serine/threonine_p rotein_phosphatase_2A_regulatory_subunit_putative)". Lineage: Eukaryota; Euglenozoa; Kinetoplastea; Trypanosomatida; Trypanosomatidae. The record is from RNAcentral.
CCUAGCCGACACAAAGCUGGCAAGCACGCCAUACCGUAUACAAGUGCGCACCGAUACUGCACGUGGAGGGUGCGAAACCCGAUACCCUUUCUUGUCCUGUGCAAUCGCCCCGCUUGCCUGUGUGUCUCUCUCCCUCCUUUUGUGAUAUCACUAGCACGAACAACCCACAACGCGCCAUCACGAUGGAGCAGUUCGACUCGGUCAAGACUAUGAUCGACAACCUCCGCUCCGAGGACCCGGAGGCGCGCCUGAGCAGCAUGCGCGGCAUCCACCUCAUCAGCACCACGCUGGGCCCCGAGCGUACCCGUGACGAACUCCUCUUGUACCUCACGGACUACCUCGACGACAACGACGAAGUGCUGCGCGUGUUCGCGAACGCGCUGGGGACGAUGCUACCGGAGGUGGGAGGCGUAGAGUACACCGGCAGUCUUCUGGCUCCACUGGAGAUCCUGGGUAGCCUGGACGAGGUCACCGUACGCGACGAGGCUGUCGCAUCCCUCCAGCUCAUUGGCAGCCAACUCUUCUCGCCGGGCAGCACCACGGGCAGCAGCAGUGCGUCUUCCGCCGACAACAAGCGCAAGGACUCGAAUGCGAAGGCACAAGGUGAAUUCAUAGGCAUGGUCCGCCGCCUCGGCGAAGGGAUGCCGCAGUGUCGCAGCACCGCCUGCUCGCUCAUCUCGACCGUCUACCCCUGCGUCGACGCCAGCACGCGCGCCGACUUGAUGAAGCUUUUCCAGAAGCUGUGCGAGGACGACGAAAUCCUCGUUCGGCGCGCCGCAUGCAUUGCCAUGGGCAAACACCUCGCCGGCGUACUUGGUUCGAAGGGGUGCUCGGAGCUGGUGCCGGUGCUGAACGCGUUUGCAAAAGACGAAAGCGACGGCGUGCGCCUGCAGGCGGUGGCGACGUGCGCGUCCCUGCUGCAGGUGCUCCCUGAGACGCAGCACUCAGCUAUCCUGUUAGCAGUUCGCUCUCUCUCGUCGGACAGCUCGUGGCGCGUUCGUUACAUGACGGCAGACUCGUUAGGCAACCUCGCGGCUGCUCUCUCGCCACCGGACGUCGUGAAGUAUGCUGUGCCGGUGUUUCGCUCCUUGUGCCAGGACUCAGAGCCGGAGAUCCGUGCGUCGGCGGUGUUCAACAUGGCGAACGUGCUUGCCGCUUGCCGAGACGCGACCGGCAAGAAGGACAUCCUCGUGACCGGUACUCGACUUGUCUCUGAUGACGUCAGCCACGUCCGCAUGAGCCUCGCGAGCGCCGUUCUGAAGUCCGUCGCGCACGUGGCAAAAGAUCUCUGGGGCACUACCAUCGUCCCAGCGUGCACCGCACUGCUGCGGGACGCGGAGGCGGAUGUGCGACUGGCACUCGUGUCCGGUUUUAGUUCCAUGGGCAACACCCCGGAGGCGAAGGAGCUGGCGCCAAGCCUGGUCCCUGUUGUCAUCAGCCUCGCUGCGGAUUCAAAAUGGCGUGUGCGGGAGGUGGUUGUCGCACAGGUGCCCUACGUGAUCACCUCGCUGGGGCGGAGCGCAGAGCAGGUGCUGCAGGUAUGUGUCAACCGUCUGACCGACCGCGUCGCCGCCAUCCGUGACGCCGCAGUGCAGUCGUGCUGCAAGCUGGUGGCCGAGCACGGGAGUGGCUGGGCCGCCUCGACGCUCCUGCCACAGGUACAGACUCUUGUGACGGACUCCAACUACCUCCAUCGAGUCGCGCUCUGCCAUCUGUACGCGGCCCUUGCGAACGUCGCCGCUUUCGACGCGGCUACAUGUGAGUCGGCGCUGUGGCCGCAGCUUGUCAUACUGCACAAGGAUGCCGUGCCAAAUGUGCGUCUGAACGUGGCCAAGGCGAUCAUGGCGCUCAGCCGCGCUGACAAGAUCCCCUCGCGAGUAGCAAAGCCGGUGCUGAGGGCCCUCAGUGAAGACGCUGAGGUGGACGUGUGCGACGCGGCGGUAGCGGCGCCGGGGCUGAAGUCCUCCAUGUCGAAGAAGUAGAAACCUAGCAAGCAGCGAGGCGGUCAUAGAGGGAGAUGAGAACACCGCAUACAAGUGGAGAGAGUUGUGCAGUGGAAGGGGAGGAGAAAGCAGAAGGAGCGCGCUGCGACGGCAGCCGACAUUGCCGGUGCUUGCGUCCCUCGCCCCCACCCUCCCUCUCUGUGUGGUGCUGCUGUUUAAGAGUAUAUAAAAAAACAC